Molecule: long non-coding RNA, 285 nt
Filed under: Elaeis guineensis (African oil palm)
Lineage: Eukaryota; Viridiplantae; Streptophyta; Magnoliopsida; Arecales; Arecaceae
Description: long non-coding RNA (EGUI_LNC024889)
Source: RNAcentral
AGACUUAAAUAUCCAUCAAAAUAUCUCGCCUGGUUUUCUUUUGAGCCUAAUUACAUUAAGAAGACCUUGUAUAAAUACUAAUAAUCAUCGAACACAAUCAAGUCAUGGAGAUAACUUAGAGUCUCUAUCAUAGAUGCCUAAACUAUAUUUUCAGUAUGCUUAGCUACAUAAGAUGCCACUCAAUAGCAGCAUUAUUCUCCUCUCUAUAGAUGUGUUUGAUCAGUUAGAAGGAACAUCAUGCGAUAAGUCUUCAAGCAUUAGCUAGCAAAGGAAGAUGGCCCCCAA